GGGAGCCAAGGCGCCUUAAGAGCCCGCCUUUCUCAAACAAAUAAAGGUGGUAGCAGCCGAGUCAGCGGGCGGAGCUAACUUGACCGCGACUCAUGCUGUCGCGGGAACACCGGAGGUGGAGCCCCACGUAGCAAGAAGAUGACCCGAAGUUGCUCGGCAGUGGGCUGCAGCACCCGAGACACCGUACUGAGCCGGGAGCGCGGCCUCUCUUUCCACCAAUUUCCAACUGAUACCAUACAGCGCUCAAAAUGGAUCAGGGCUGUUAAUCGUAUGGACCCGAGAAGCAAAAAGAUUUGGAUCCCAGGACCAGGUGCUAUGCUAUGUUCCAAACAUUUUCAAGAAAGUGACUUUGAGUCAUAUGGCAUAAGAAGAAAGCUGAAAAAAGGAGCUGUGCCUUCUGUUUCUCUAUACAAGGUUCUCCAAGGUGUACACCUUAAAGGUAAAGCAAGACAGAAAAUCCUAAAAGAGCCACUUCCUGAUAAUUCUCAAGAGGUUGCUACUGAAGACCAUAACUACAGUUUAAAGAGACCUCUGACAAUAGGAGCAGAGAAACUAGCUGAGGUGCAGCAGAUGCUACAAGUGUCCAAAAAAAGACUUGCUUCUGCGAAAAACUACAGGAUGAUCAAGAAGAGAAAAGGCUUACGACUAAUUGAUGCGCUUAUAGAAGAGAAGCUACUUACAGAGGAAACAGAAUGUCUGCUACGAGCACAAUUUUCUGAUUUUAAGUGGGAGUUGUAUAACUGGAGAGAAACAGCUGAGUACUCCGCAGAAAUGAAGCAGUUUGCAUGUACACUCUACUUGUGCGGUAGCAAAGUCUAUGAUUAUGUAAGAAAGAUUCUUAAGCUGCCUCAUUCUUCCAUCCUCAGAACGGCCUCUGGAUAUUUGCAAGCUCAGCUGCUUCGUCUGACGAUUGGCAAGCUAAGUGACAUAGGGAUCACAGUGCUGGCUGUCACAUCUGAUGCCUCAGCUCACAGUGUUCAGAUGGCAAGGGCACUGGGGAUACAUCUUGACGGAGACAACAUGAAGUGUACAUUUCAGCAUCCUUCAUCAUCCAGCCAACAGAUUGCCUACUUCUUUGAUUCUUGCCACUUGCUUAAAUUAAUAAGAAAUGCAUUUCAGAAUUUCCAAAGCAUUCAGUUUAUCAACGGCACAGCACAUUGGCAGCACCUUGUGGAGUUAGCAGCACUAGAGGAACAGGAAUUAUCACAUAUGGAGAGAAUCCCAAGAAGACUUGCAAAUCUGAAGAACCACAUACUGAAAACGAAUUGUGCCAGCCAGGUCUUCAGUGAGAGUGUGGUCAGGGCAUUAGAAUGUUUGCUAUCACUGGGCCUGCCUCCUUUUCAGAACUGUGUUGGUACCAUCCACUUCUUACGCUUAAUUAACAAUCUGUUUGACAUUCUUAAUAGUAGGAACUUUUAUGGAAAGGGAUUUAAAGGACCUCUAUUACCUGAAACUUUUAAUAAAAUCAACCAUGUGUUAACUGAAGCCAAGACUAUUUUUGUUACAUUAUCUGACACUGGCAAUAAUCAAAUCCUUAAAGGUAAGCGAAAACUGGGAUUCCUGGGAUUUUUGCUUAAUGCUGAGAGCUUAAAAUGGCUCUACCAAAAUUAUGUUUUCCCCAAAGUCAUGCCUUUCCCCUAUCUCCUGAUGUACAAAUUCAGUCAGGAUCAUCUGGAAUUAUUUCUAAAGAUGCUCAGACAGGUAUCAGUAACCACUUCUAACCCCACCUGCAUGGCAUUCCAGAAAGCUUACCAUAACUUGGAGACCAGACACAGAUUACAAGAUGAGGUCUUUCUAAGUGAAGUAAGCAGCCUUGACAUUUCAAUUGCUCGAAGGACAGACCUGGCCCUCGGCACAGUUCAGCGUGAGUAUGGUGUCAGCGUUAUAGAGAGUCUUUUUUACAAAGAGGAUAUUUGCCCAGACUGGUCUGACUGUUUGCUAAGUGAGGCAUUACUAGAUCUGUCAGUUCGUAGGCGAAAUCUCACCUCCUACGCUGGUUAUAUUGCCAAUAAGUUAUCAGCUCUUUUAACAUGUGAGGACUGCCUCAGUGCGUUGUAUGCAUCGGAUCUCAAAGCCUCUAAAAUUGGAUCCCUGUUAUGUGUUAAAAAGGAGAAUGGUGUGCAUUUCCCUUCUGAAAGUUUGUGCCGAGUCAUAAAUACUUGUGAGCGAGUUGUGAGAACCCAUUCAAAGCCGACAGUUCAUGAACCACUGCUUCCCAAACAGAGGGAAUUUUACCUUCAACAGAAAAUAUUAUAUGAGCUUUCUGGGCAUAUUUAUCUUUUUGUAGAGUUAGAUGAGCAUCUCUUUGAUGGAGAAGUAUGUGCCAUCAAUCACUUUGUAAAGUUGCUAAAGGAUAUCAUAAUCUGUUUCUUAAAGAUCAGAGCUAAAGAUAUAACUCAGUACUCCUUAAAACACCACUCAGAAAGAAUUGAGCUGAAAACUUUGUCAAGGAAACACUGGUCAUCUUCACAGAAUUACAGAUGUUCAAGUUUUGCAAAUACCAAUAAAUGCAGGCAUUUGCUAAGGAACAAUAGAUAACUAUUCAAAUGAAGGACCUAAAAUAUAUUAACAUUUUUAUUAAAAAUAAUUGGUCAACAUUUAUUUUAAAAUUCAACUGACAAUAUUUUACAAAUUCUGCACAGUGGACAAGUUUGUGUUUAUGUCUUAGGAAUUUCUAUUAUGUACGUUAUCAAAUCUGCAUGGAAUUUGGUAGGGCUUACAAGCAUUUCAGAGUUACCUAAAAUGUAGAAAGCGGGAAGUCAGUAAGAAUAGACUAGCCAAUGGGUGCUGUGUUUGAAUUUACCACUAUCCAACUGAGUAAUUCAACUGGACAUACUUUAAAAACAAGUGAGAAUGGCAGAAACGAGCACAAUAUUGUAAAACAGUUAUCCUCCAAUAAAAUUUUUAAAAAGUGAGAAUAAUGACAAAGGAGUCUCUAAAACAUUGACUCCUUUUAUAAAGACUACAUUCACAGAAAGAGAUUUGGUCUACAACUCUUAAGAAUAACACUUAAAAAAAAAAAAAAAGACUGUUAACAGAAUACCCAUCAAACUGUGAAUAUAGUUUACUUACACAUGAAAAUUAGGCCAAGUUAAAUACCAAACACUACAAAAAUCCUUUUGCUGGGGUACCUUUAAAUAGAAAUAAUUAAACUAUUAGGCAGAAGGUAAACACAUGAGCCAUGAAAUGGACACUCCUUGUGCUACAACCAAGCUCGAAAAUGUUGUCUGGGGAGUAUGCAGGUGAUGUAAUUUUCACAGCCCAUUUGUCUGGACUUCACACUACUACCUUUAAUAAGAGUGGACACUUGACUCCUACUGGAGGAGCACAGUGCUCAUCAGAGAAUGAAAAGAAGCCUUUAUUUCAACUUCUUCUGAAGAGGAUAAUAAUGAAACGUUUUCAGUUUGGCAUAAUGGUGUUUCAUAUCAUAUGAUAAACAAAUUGGGGAAAAAAUGGUCAGUUGGUAGAGUAUGAAAAAGUUUGUCUUAACCACAUAAUGAGAUUUUUCAGAAAUUUGGGAGAAGCUUAAAUAAUCUGAAGAUGGAAACAUACUAAGAACAAUUUUCUCCGUUCUGUCAUAUCCAGAUCUGAAAAGGUCUCGAGGACUGAAUUAACAAUACAAUAAUUGUCAAGCUAUUUCC
Odocoileus virginianus texanus is the source of this 3641-nucleotide non-coding RNA. Lineage: Eukaryota; Metazoa; Chordata; Mammalia; Artiodactyla; Cervidae. The record is from RefSeq and is a predicted model, not a curated record.